AGGACGAACGCUGGCGGCGUGUUUAACACAUGCAAGUCGAGCGGAAAGGCCCUUCGGGGUACUCGAGCGGCGAACGGGUGAGUAACACGUGAGCAAUCUGCCCUUAGCUUCGGGAUAGCCCCGGGAAACCGGGAUUAAUACCGAAUACGACCUCGGCCGACAUCGGCUUUGGUGGAAAGUUUUUCGGCUAGGGAUGAACUCGCGGCCUAUCAGCUUGUUGGUGGGGUAAUGGCCUACCAAGGCGACGACGGGUAGCCGGCCUGAGAGGGCGACCGGCCACACUGGGACUGAGACACGGCCCAGACUCCUACGGGAGGCAGCAGUGGGGAAUAUUGCGCAAUGGGCGAAAGCCUGACGCAGCGACGCCGCGUGGGGGAUGAAGGCCUUCGGGUUGUAAACCCCUUUCAGCAGGACGAAGCGAGAGUGACGGUACCUGCAGAAGAAGCGCCGGCUAACUACGCGCCAGCACGCCGC
RNAcentral lists this ribosomal RNA (474 nucleotides) under uncultured bacterium. Its description in RNAcentral is "SSU rRNA". It matches the Rfam family "Bacterial small subunit ribosomal RNA", at positions 26 to 518 of the family's 1533-position model. The record is from RNAcentral.